AGUACUACGUGGGGUGUGAUCCAGUUACUUUGAUGGAGUAAAGUUCAAAUUGAUUAUUUUAGUGCUU
This 67-nucleotide transfer RNA is filed under the name Perumytilus purpuratus. RNAcentral describes it as "tRNA-Ile". Lineage: Eukaryota; Metazoa; Mollusca; Bivalvia; Mytilida; Mytilidae. The record is from RNAcentral.